Molecule: ribosomal RNA, 229 nt
Filed under: uncultured bacterium
Lineage: Bacteria
Description: partial 16S ribosomal RNA
Rfam family: Bacterial small subunit ribosomal RNA
Source: RNAcentral
CGCGUAGGCGGUCUCUUAAGUCAGAUGUGAAAGCCCGGGGCUUAACCCCAGAAGUGCAUUUGAAACUAAGGGACUUGAGUAUGGGAGAGGGAAGUGGAAUUCCUGGUGUAGAGGUGAAAUUCGUAGAUAUCAGGAGGAACACCGGUGGCGAAGGCGACUUCCUGGACCAAUACUGACGCUGAGGCGCGAAGGCGUGGGGAGCAAACAGGAUUAGAUACCCUGGUAGUCC